This 1642-nucleotide long non-coding RNA is filed under the name Taeniopygia guttata (zebra finch). Its description in RNAcentral is "lncRNA (ENSTGUG00000024130.1)". Lineage: Eukaryota; Metazoa; Chordata; Aves; Passeriformes; Estrildidae. The record is from RNAcentral.
AGUAGACAUCUUAAAUGAUCCCACAAGAGCACAGCCACUCUGUCUUGGUGGGGUUUGCUGGCAUUUUGCUCCCUUAGUCUCCUUAACUAGCCUUUUCCAUGCACCUUCUGCAAUUCUUUUGUGAACAUUUUGUGCAUCAUUACCCACAGCUCUCCCCCAAGACUCCUGAUGAUCUGUGAAUUAUUAGGUUUUGCUGUUUGAAAGUUAAACUGAUUUUCCUAUCAAUAUAUUUGUAUUUGCAAUUUUCCAAAUCUUAAAUCCCAACAUUGUCCCAAGGCUAUAGGAGACACCAGGUGUACAAAUGAGCCAGAAAUAUCCUGAAUUAGACACCUCCCUGCACCUCUCUGUGUUCUCCCUUGCUCUGAGCCUCUCCGUACCUGCGGACCUCUAGAUUCUGUUCUAGAAGCAGUGGCUCAUGGAGAACCCACUUUGCUGGCUUUUCUCUUAAUCCGAUACUAUCUGGAAGUCUACUUGGGGUUUUCCACCUGCAGGGAUGUUUAGAAUUUGGACACCAGUGAUAUUGAUAUUAGAGUAAAUUGGUAACAGCUAGAAGUUGAAAGAAAACAUCUAUUAUUUCUACAGGAGCAGAGUAGCAUGAAAUGCCUAAAUGGUGCCUUGCCACCACUAUCACUCACCUGAGAUAGGUCCAAGAACAAGCUGAAGAACUUUUGUCCUGGAGAACUUCAUUAUACCCAAAUUGACAACAGGUAAACAGCUGCCAAGGAAUGAUCAGAGAAGGAGAAUACAGAGAAGGCCCCUUUAAUUCUCUCCAUCUGCUCCGUGGUGCAAGUGGGAAGGAGAACACAAAGAUCUGGAGUCCAGCAGCAGGUCUGACUUUGAGCUUCUGCUACUGCCUGCCACUUCUCCCAAACUGUGAGUAUCAGCUAUGUAUUUUUUCAUCUUUCAGAAGAAGUUUAUAAUUAGGCUGGAAUUCUUCAGGCAGAGGCAAAGGCCAUGCUGGUUUGGGUUAGAUUGUUUUGUUAAAUUUUGAAGAAAACUGUUCUUCAUUAAGGAAUACGUGCUGGUUUCCAGAGGAUGGCUGAGACCUUCCCUUCUCUAGUAUUCGGUCUUGUGCAGUUCUAAACUUGAGUUUCUUUUCUAUUUAAAUAUUUAAAGCCUGUCUUUGCUUCUGUUUUCACAAAACCUGAACUGGGCUGGAGGGGUGCCACAGACUGGAAGCAGAAGCUGGGCCAGUGCAGUUUGAUGUGGCCAUGGCUGUACAAGCACUGACCAUGUGUGUGGCAGGGCCUGAGCAGCCCAGGAGGGGUUGUCAGAAAUGUUAGGAAGAGAAAGUUCAUUUUCUGAGAAGUUUUGAGUGGUUGGUUGUCUCUGCACAGGGCAGAGCAAGAAUCUCAGUGGGUGAAUGGGGUGAGCUGGGCUCUGCUGCCGUGUGUGUGGGGAGUUGGCUGCCCUUUCUCUGUUGUGCCAUUGUCUGUUUGGCCUGGGCCUGAGCUGUGUUUGAACAGCAGCACUCUGGUAUCUGUGGCCAAAAAGUUACCCUUUCGGCUGUGUGUUGUACUUUUAUUUUGUAAAAUGUCUUUCAACUUCAGCGGUGUUGCUGCCCCCGGCUCUGCAGAGCCCAGUGAGCCGUGCGUGUAGCCCAGCUGCUGGUGGGCGAGCCCAGGGCGGUGGUUUUUCACCC